GUCCUUUCGGGAACAUCUGAUAAAAUUGGAAUAAUAUAAAAAAGAUUAGAAUGGCCUAACGAUAUAGAGAAGAUUAGCACGCCUCUAUGAAAGGAUGACACGUACAAAUCAAGGAAUGGUCUAAAUUUUU
Molecule: non-coding RNA, 130 nt
Organism: Capsicum annuum
Lineage: Eukaryota; Viridiplantae; Streptophyta; Magnoliopsida; Solanales; Solanaceae
Source: Rfam